Molecule: ribosomal RNA, 750 nt
Filed under: Leptothrix sp. enrichment culture clone K8
Lineage: Bacteria; Pseudomonadati; Pseudomonadota; Betaproteobacteria; Burkholderiales; Sphaerotilaceae
Description: bacterial SSU rRNA
Rfam family: Bacterial small subunit ribosomal RNA
Source: RNAcentral
GAUUGAGUUUGAUCCUGGCUCAGAUUGAACGCUGGCGGCAUGCCUUACACAUGCAAGUCGAACGGUAACGCGGGGCAACCUGGCGACGAGUGGCGAACGGGUGAGUAAUAUAUCGGAACGUGCCCAGUAGUGGGGGAUAGCCCGGCGAAAGCCGGAUUAAUACCGCAUACGACCUACGGGUGAAAGGGGGGGAUCGCAAGACCUCUCGCUAUUGGAGCGGCCGAUAUCAGAUUAGGUAGUUGGUGGGGUAAAAGCCCACCAAGCCAACGAUCUGUAGCUGGUCUGAGAGGACGACCAGCCACACUGGGACUGAGACACGGCCCAGACUCCUGCGGGAGGCAGCAGUGGGGAAUUUUGGACAAUGGGCGCAAGCCUGAUCCAGCCAUGCCGCGUGCGGGAAGAAGGCCUUCGGGUUGUAAACCGCUUUUGUCAGGGAAGAAAUCCCUUGAGCUAAUACCUCGGGGGGAUGACGGUACCUGAAGAAUAAGCACCGGCUAACUACGUGCCAGCAGCCGCGGUAAUACGUAGGGUGCAAGCGUUAAUCGGAAUUACUGGGCGUAAAGCGUGCGCAGGCGGUCGUGCAAAACAGAUGUGAAAUCCCCGGGCUCAACCUGGGAACUGCAUUUGUGACUGCACGGCUAGAGUACGGUAGAGGGGGAUGGAAUUCCGCGUGUAGCAGUGAAAUGCGUAGAUAUGCGGAGGAACACCGAUGGCGAAGGCAAUCCCCUGGACCUGUACUGACGCUCAUGC